Molecule: ribosomal RNA, 435 nt
Filed under: Chaetocnema paganettii
Lineage: Eukaryota; Metazoa; Arthropoda; Insecta; Coleoptera; Chrysomelidae
Description: partial 16S large subunit ribosomal RNA
Source: RNAcentral
GUCCUUUUGUAAAAAUUUUAAGGUCUAACCUGCCCACUGAAUUAUUUGAAGGGCCGCAGUAUUUUGACUGUGCUAAGGUAGCAUAAUCAUUAGUUUUUUAAUUGAAAGCUAGAAUGAAGGGUUGAAUGAAAAAAUAACUGUCUUUAAUUAAUUUAAUUAAAAAUUUAUUUUUAAGUUAAAAAGCUUAAAUAUUUUUAAAAGACGAGAAGACCCUAUAGAGUUUAAUAUAUCAAUAAUUAUUUAAUUUUAGAAUUUUAUAUUUUUUGAUUUUUGAUUUAUUAAGUUGGGGUGAUUGAAAAAUUUAAUUAACUUUUUUUUUAUUUUAAUAUUAAUUAAUAAUUGAAUGAUCCAAUAUUUUUGAUUAUAAGAAUAAAUUACCUUAGGGAUAACAGCGUAAUUUUAUUAAAGAGUUCAAAUCGAUAAUAAAGAUUGCGA